AAAGGAUUCAUCGGUAACGGAUGGGGAUGCGUGACAUUAGGUAGAUGGCGGGGUAACGGCCCACCAUGCCUACGAUGUCUAGGGGUUCUGAGAGGAAGGUCCCCCACACUGGAACUGAGACACGGUCCAGACUCCUACGGGAGGCAGCAGUGAGGAAUAUUGGUCAAUGGUCGGAAGACUGGAACCCAGCCAAGUAGCGUGAAGGAUGAAGGUUCUAUGGAUUGUAAACUUCUUUUAUACGGGAAUAAAACCACCUACGUGUAGGUGCUUGUAUGUACCGUAUGAAUAAGCAUCGGCUAACUCCGUG
Molecule: ribosomal RNA, 307 nt
Filed under: uncultured bacterium
Lineage: Bacteria
Description: bacterial SSU rRNA
Rfam family: Bacterial small subunit ribosomal RNA
Source: RNAcentral